This is a microRNA precursor of Gallus gallus (chicken), 110 nucleotides long. NCBI's taxonomy places the organism in Eukaryota, Metazoa, Chordata, Aves, Galliformes, Phasianidae. The record is from Ensembl.
CUCCAAAAAUCGAGAUCUGCAAAGCUGCCUGAAGGAUUUUGAUGCCCUGAAAUGAAGGGAAAGAAAGGGCUGUCUGAGUCCUCCAGGCCGGGUUUUGUUUAUCUCAGUCC